RNAcentral lists this ribosomal RNA (1269 nucleotides) under uncultured bacterium. RNAcentral describes it as "bacterial SSU rRNA". It matches the Rfam family "Bacterial small subunit ribosomal RNA", at positions 94 to 1399 of the family's 1533-position model. The record is from RNAcentral.
AGUGGCAGACGGGUGAGUAACAUGUGGGUAUCUGCCCUAUGGCCUGGAAUAACACGAGGAAACUUGUGCUAAUACCGGAUAAGUCUUUACGGAGAAAGCUUUAUGCACCAUUGGAUGAGCCCGCAAUUGAUUAGUUUGUUGGUAGGGUAAUGGCCUACCAAGACUGUGAUCAAUAGCUGAUUUGAGAGGAUGAUCAGCCACAUUGGGACUGAGACACGGCCCAAACUCCUACGGGAGGCAGCAGUGGGGAAUCUUGCACAAUGGAGGAAACUCUGAUGCAGCGAUACCGCGUGAGUGAAGAAGGCCUUUGGGUUGUAAAGCUCUUUCGUCGGGGAAGAAAAUGACUGUACCCGAAUAAGAAGGUCCGGCUAACUUCGUGCCAGCAGCCGCGGUAAUACGAAGGGACCUAGCGUAGUUCGGAAUUACUGGGCUUAAAGAGUUCGUAGGUGGUUGAAAAAGUUGGUGGUGAAAUCCCAGAGCUUAACUCUGGAACUGCCAUCAAAACUUUUCAGCUAGAGUUUGAUAGAGGAAAGUAGAAUUUCUAGUGUAGAGGUGAAAUUCGUAGAUAUUAGAAAGAAUACCGAUUGCGAAGGCAACUUUCUGGAUCAUUACUGACACUGAGGAACGAAAGCAUGGGUAGCGAAGAGGAUUAGAUACCCUCGUAGUCCAUGCCGUAAACGAUGUGUGUUGGACGUUGGAAAUUUAUUUUCAGUGUCGCAGCGAAAGCGAUAAACACACCGCCUGGGGAGUACGACCGCAAGGUUAAAACUCAAAUGAAUUGACGGGGACCCGCACAAGUAGUGGAGCAUGUGGUUUAAUUCGAAGAUACGCGCAGAACCUUACCAACACUUGACAUGUUCGUCGCGACUUUAAGAGAUUAAAGUUUUCGGUUCGGCCGGACGAAACACAGGUGCUGCAUGGCUGUCGUCAGCUCGUGUCGUGAGAUGUUGGGUUAAGUCCCGCAACGAGCGCAACCCUCACUUUUAGUUGCCAUCAUUAAGUUGGGCACUCUGAAAGAACUGCCAGUGAUAAGCUGGAGGAAGGUGGGGAUGACGUCAAGUCCUCAUGGCCCUUACGUGUUGGGCUACACACGUGCUACAAUGGUAUCUACAACAGGAAGCGAAACCGCGAGGUUAAGCAAAUCCUUAAAAGAUACCUCAGUUCGGAUUGCACUCUGCAACUCGAGUGCAUGAAGCUGGAAUUACUAGUAAUCGUGGAUCAGCGUGCCACGGUGAAUGCGUUCCCGGGUCUUGUACACACCGCCCGUCA